ACUCAGGAGUGAGCCCCUUGACAGCAGGGCAUCGUAGGUCCCCACGUGUCCCCCUCCAGCCUCUGGAGGAGAACUUUGAACCUGAGAGAAGAUUGAGGUUUAAAAUGAAGAGGAUUUCUCUAGUUUUUUACAUGUUAGAAAAUUUCCACUGAAUUUUUUUUCAAAUGAAAGAUGAAUGAAUGAAUGGAUGGAUGGAUGAAUAACUUAAUGAAUGGAAGGAGGCAGACCUGUUUAGGAGCCGGAGAAACAUUCCAGAGAAUCCAGUUUUCUUGACUUUGCCGUUGCCACAAUAGUUGAUGUGUUCAAAGGAUUCAGCAUGUGACUGUGAGUUAAGAAGCUGCCCAGAAGUCGUCCAGUUCCUGCUUGUGGCCUUUCCUUGUGACUUUCUGGAGACUCAACCCUCAUCGCCCGUGGAGGCGAGGCCAGCUUUGUCCUCCUGCCUUCGCCGCUGCUGCCUGGGCUCCGCUCUUCCCCAGCCGCUAAUGGGCCGAAGAGGAAACUUGACCUCAGAGAAGAUCAAUUAUUUGUCCAAGCUCACAUAACCAGUAAAUGGCAAAGUCAUGUCUAGAAUCAAAAUCUAUCGGACUAACAAAUACGACCAUCAAAGUCUAGUGGAAGAGGAAUUCUCGACAAUACCCUGGGAUAAGUAUCUUUUGGUGUCUCUUGUUGUGCAGAAAUUUUGCAUUUGAUAGUGUCCAUGUUAUCAAUCUUUACGUUGUGAUUUAUGCACUGUCCUAGUUAAGUAAUCUUUUUCUGCUCUGAUGUCAUAAAGAUAUUCUUUUGUACUGUCUUCAAAAAGUUUUAAAGAUUUUUUGUCUUUAGUCCGUCUGGAAUUUAUUUUUGUAAGUGAAUUAAAGCAAGGAACUAAUUUUAUUAUUUUCUCGUGUGUGUUAAUAGUAAGCUGCCCAAGGUCAUUUACUAAACGUUCUUUUGGAAGAACUCACUCCUUCCACUGAUUUAUAAUGCUGCUUCUGGCAUUCAUUCAUUCAACAACCAUGUAUCGGGCACUAUUUGAGUCCCUGGAAAAAAAUGCUGAAACCCAGAAGCCCAGAGAGGCCUAGACAUAGUUGUGGAAGGUGGAAGUACUUCAGUGUUCCUUGCAGGAAGAAAACCAUCCUGCUAUUGGCCAACUGCAAAUACAUGGGGAAUCCAGAGGAUGAUGUAAGGAGAAACCUUACACCGCUCCCCACCAAGUUUGUUUUUUAAGGAUGUGCUCCAGCGAAACUAGGGAAAGAAGAAGAUGUGAAACCCAGGCGACCCAGGAUUCCACCCCAGAGAACAACAAAGAGAGUCCCCAAUGGCAGCUGUGCAGGAGACCUAGAGGCUGCCCAUCUAGUCUGAGCAGGAGGACAGAGGCUCCUAGAGAAAUGUCCCCACGUUGAAACAGAAAGAGGAGUUUGAUGAAAAAUUUUCAAACCAAGUGGACUGCUGAUUUACAAGGAGAGGGAUUUUAGGUGAAUCAGCUUUCCAUCUAGCAAGGUGGAAGCACACAGCAGG
This 1497-nucleotide long non-coding RNA is filed under the name Equus caballus (horse). RNAcentral's name for it is "lncRNA (ENSECAG00000058408.1)". The record is from RNAcentral. Lineage: Eukaryota; Metazoa; Chordata; Mammalia; Perissodactyla; Equidae.